CUGGAUUUGACAUCCCGUGAACCUCGCCUAACAGCGAGGGUGCCCUUCGGGGAGCACGGUGACAGGUGCUGCAUGGCUGUCGUCAGCUCGUGUCGUGAGAUGUUCGGUCUAAGUCCGGCAACGAGCGCAACCCCUGUCCUUAGUUGCUACCACGUAAUGGUGGGCACUCUAAGGAGACUGCCGGAGUGAAUUCGUGAGGAAGGUGGGGAUGACGUCAAGUCCUCAUGGCCCUUAUAUCCAGGGCUACACACGUGCUACAAGGCCGGUACAAAGGGCAGCUAACUCGCGAGAGUGUGCCAAUCCCAUAAAGCCGGCCUCAGUUCGGAUUGCAGUCUGCAACUCGACCGCAUGAAGCUGGAAUCGCUAGUAAUCGUGGGUCAGCAUACCACGGUGAAUACGUUCCCGGGCC
RNAcentral lists this ribosomal RNA (409 nucleotides) under uncultured bacterium. RNAcentral describes it as "bacterial SSU rRNA". It matches the Rfam family "Bacterial small subunit ribosomal RNA", at positions 975 to 1380 of the family's 1533-position model. The record is from RNAcentral.